AGAGUUUGAUCCUGGCUCAGGAUGAACGCUGGCGGUCUGCUUAACACAUGCAAGUCGAACGCAAGUAGCAAUACUUGAGUGGCGGACGGGUGAGUAACGCGUGAGAAUCUGCCUUUUGGUCGGGGACAACCAUUGGAAACGAUGGCUAAUACCCGAUGUGCCUAUGGGUGAAAGAUUUAUUGCCAGAAGAGGAGCUCGCGUCUGAUUAGCUAGUUGGUAGGGUAAAAGCCUACCAAGGCAUCGAUCAGUAGCUGGUCUGAGAGGAUGACCAGCCACACUGGGACCGAGACACGGCCCAGACUCCUACGGGAGGCAGCAGUGGGGAAUUUUCCGCAAUGGGCGAAAGCCUGACGGAGCAAGACCGCGUGAGGGAGGAAGGCUCUUGGGUCGUAAACCUCUUUUGUCAGGGAAGAACACAAUGACGGUACCUGACGAAUCAGCCUCGGCUAACUCCGUGCCAGCAGCCGCGGUAAUACGGAGGAGGCAAGCGUUAUCCGGAAUUAUUGGGCGUAAAGCGUCCGCAGGUGGCACCUCAAGUCUGCUGUCAAAGACCGGGGCUUAACCCCAGAAAGGCAGUGGAAACUGAAGUGCUAGAGUGCAGUAGGGGUAGAGGGAAUUCCCGGUGUAGCGGUGAAAUGCGUAGAGAUCGGGAAGAACAUCGGUGGCGAAAGGCUCUGCUGGACUGCAACUGACACUCAGGGACGAAAGCUAGGGGAGCGAAUGGGAUUAGAUACCCUAGUAGUCC
This 745-nucleotide ribosomal RNA is filed under the name uncultured bacterium. Its description in RNAcentral is "bacterial SSU rRNA". It matches the Rfam family "Bacterial small subunit ribosomal RNA", at positions 8 to 796 of the family's 1533-position model. The record is from RNAcentral.